GUGCUUGGAACUGAUGAUAGGGGAUUUACUGUAAAUGAGAAUGAAGCUCCGUCAAUUUUGACAACUGUUGGAGAUGAUGAGUAUUGGAGUGGAGAAGCUCAGGAACGAGAAAUAGGGAUACACGUACGUGAAUGAACUUGACCAACACCUUAUAAUUCAACUGGUGGAAAUCAUGUAGCUCCCCUGCACACAUGAAGUCGCAUGUGACCCAAGGACACAACACAUGGAUGCUCUGCUUGAUAUCAUUUGUGAAGUAUUGGCUAAUUAAGUUCAUUGUCAUAGGAGGAGCUGAAUAUUUUUUUUUUAUCAGUUGUCUAUUAGUUUAGCAUGUUGUUGUCAGAACUUAGCUAUCUUGGAUAUGUAUUCUCUGAACUCAGUAGUUCAUCUUUUUUUUUUUGUAA
Papaver somniferum (opium poppy) is the source of this 401-nucleotide long non-coding RNA. RefSeq lists it as uncharacterized. NCBI's taxonomy places the organism in Eukaryota, Viridiplantae, Streptophyta, Magnoliopsida, Ranunculales, Papaveraceae. The record is from RefSeq and is a predicted model, not a curated record. The transcript is spliced from 3 exons.